This is an RNA transcript of Orcinus orca (killer whale), 12874 nucleotides long. It is a transcript of the gene named RE1-silencing transcription factor, with no coding region annotated. NCBI's taxonomy places the organism in Eukaryota, Metazoa, Chordata, Mammalia, Artiodactyla, Delphinidae. The transcript is spliced from 2 exons. The record is from RefSeq and is a predicted model, not a curated record.
AAACCUUUAUUGGUAAAGUUCCAGUUAUGUUGCAUUCAAUUUACUGUCUACUAAAUGGCUUAGCAGAUCAUGAUCUUUGUGAGUUACAUGGAUGCCUCUUGGAUCCUGAUGGCUACUUCAUUAUUAAUGGAUCAGAAAAGGGCCAUGCUGUAGGACUUGUGAAGAAUUUAGCUCUGAUGGCUUAUAUUUCAGUUGGAUCUCAACCAUCUCCAAUUCUGGUAUUUUUAGAAGAAUGGAGUAUGGAAGUUUAGAAGAAAUUUCUCCUGCAGCUGUUGCUGAGUGUGUAUAGAUGCAAAAAACUAUUGUUAAUCUUUAGUUAUAGCUUAUUAUAGGGUUACUAAGUACAGAAUGCUUUUGGUGUUGCAUUUUAGUGCAACCAAUAUUUUUGUUAAUGGCUGCUGGGUUGGAAUACAUAAAGAUCCUGAACAACUUAUGAACACUCUAUGGAAAUUGUGGCAUCAGGUAGACAUCACUGUGUCUGAAAUAAGAGUCUUUAAUUAACUAAGACCAUGUGAUCUGUGAGAUUUCCAAAUGAGGUAUAAGACUAGUGAAAGUUAUCUUUGCAUUGGUAUCUUUCUUGAACUGGUUUCCUUUUAAUUGUAAAGUAUAUUGUCAAAAUUAUCGUUGAUGUUUUGAGCUAAAUUUAAUUAUAAGGUAUUCCUUGCUUUAAUGCCUUAGAUAUAUACAUCUAUAUGCAUUGAGAAUCUUUUUGUAAAGCUGACAACAGUACUUUUUUUUUUUUUUUUUGCCGUACACGGGCCUCUCACUGCUGUGGCCUCUCCCGUUGCAGAGCACAGGCUCCAGACGGGCAGGCUUAGCGGCCAUGGCUCACGGGCCCAGCCGCUCUGUGGCAUGUGGGAUCUUCCCGGACCCGGGCACGAACCCGUGUCCCCUGCAUCGGCAGGCGGACUCUCAACCACUGCGCCACCAGGGAAGCCCCUGACAACAGUACUUUUAAAAAGGGAAUGAGCAUCUCUGAUUUCUCCUUUGUCUGAUUCCAGAGAUUCAUUCAUGAAAUGUGAUACACCUCUAUUAGAUCUUCUUAUGUUUAGAGGCUGUUGAAGGACUCUGGGAUUAGGACGAAUUUUUUUUAAUCAUUAAAAUAGAGUAUGAGUUCUAAUACUCCCUGAAAAUAGGGCUUUUGCUUUUAGUGUACUGUAUUGAGGGAUAGGGCUCAGGCUUUUGAUUCUCUCAGAUAUACACCUUGGGGUCUGUCUAGGUGAAAGUAGGUUUGGAGAGAAACUGUAACACACUUCACCCAGAGCUGGCCUCCUGUCUACGUAGCAAAGCAGAGAAUCGAGGUUUGGCUGCUCCAAAGCAGGCAGACCCUGGGUUUUGACUCGGGUGUAUUCCUACCUUGAAGUCAGGAACAGCAUGCUUCACCUGAGGGCAGGCAGGGCUAAGAGAAAGCCUAAGAACCAACACUGGCUGUGUUUUUUAUGAUUGAGAACUCAUUGUUAAUGCCAUGUGUUUCUGCUGAGAGCUGCCUUCAGCUUUUCUGUGUUCUCUAGGGUAAAAUUGAGUUCUUUAUGCUGUUUUAGGCCUCUUUGCCUUUCCAUGGGCCCAUUCCCUCAACCUGGAAUGCCCUGUCACCCAUGCCUCCUCAAAAAUGGGUAAUAGGGAAAAGGGUGCUUAUUACUUUUUUCAGGUAAAUCUCACUUAUUCUGCAAAACUUAUAUUAACUCUCAUCUCCUUCAGGAUACCUUACCUGACCCCUCAAUUUGAUUUAGACCAGAGGUUGGCAAACAUUUUCUGUGAAGGGUCAGAUAUUAAAUAUUUUAGUCUUUGUUUACCUUACCUGUUGUGUGUUGAACUCUGUUGUGUAGUGAAAAGCAGCCAUAGACAAUACGUAAACCAAUAAAACUUUAUUUACAAAAGCAGAUGGCAGAUGAGGGCAGAUUUGGCCUGCAGGCUGUUCGCUGAGCCCCUGAUUUAGAUCUAUCCUUGUGACUAUAUAUGGCAUAUUUUCCUUAAAUAACUUCUGACAGAAUGUGUAUACCAGAUAGUAACUGUUGAUUUAUAUGCCUGCCUCACUCACUACACUAUUCAGUUUUCAGAGGCAGGGAACAUGUCUUAAUAUGACUUUGUAUUUUCAGCUCUGAGAAUGGUGCCUGACAUGCAGUGUCUGACACUGAGUGUGUGUUUGUUGAACCUAUAAGUGGAUCCUGUGUCCUUGGACUAGGCUCUUUAAUCUUCUGUUGGGGAGUGUUGUUGGGAUUUUAUCAGUGGGAAAAUUGUAUUUUUCAGGAGUCUAGUAGUUUUCUUUUACUUCAUAUUUUCUGAUAACCAGAGGUCCUCAUUUUGCCUGUUUCUGGUAGGGUUUCCUGUCGGUAGUCCUCUCUAGACCUACUAAAGAACCCCUGUUUCCUUUGGAACACAAGAUACUGUUUGGCCUUUGAGGAGACACAGCUCAGUUUAUGUCUUCCUGUUAAGACAAUAGAGCUAUAUUCUAUUAGCUAUAUUGUAAUAUAAUAUUCUAUAUUCUAUUAGGAAUUCUCUAAGGAUUGAAGGCAAGCAUUUGAAAAUGUCACUCAUGCUGUUUUUGCUCACAAACAGUGUUUCAUCUUAGAUUGUUUUCUAAGGACAGGAAGUGGGCUAAGAAUGUGGGGCAUUUUCUGUUUCUUGACUUCUGACUCUUUGGGAGAACUUGAUGUUUCUGAUCAACCUUUUAUGAUUUACUGUUGUUUUUAAACUGAGUAAUAAGCCAAAGCUUUUCCUUUCUUAAAUAAACCUGAUCUUUUUAAAAAUAAAAGUGUCCAGAUGUGAUUUUACUUUUUUAAAGUACUUUUGUGGAGAAAUACCAAUCUAUUUUUCCAUUUCCCAACUAACUGGCAAUUCACUUCUUAGUUGACUUCCACGAUUAUACAUUAGAUAUAGAUAAUUCACUGGAAAUUCUUAAUUUACUUUUUGACUUAUACCUUUAUAUAUAGGCACCUCAAAACCUGAAAUGCUUUUAAUAAUUAUUAUGUCCUAUAUUGCAUAUUUUCCCAAAAUAUUUUUGAUAUUUUCACGGAAUAUAUUUUCUAGUGCUAUCCAGUAGAAAUAUAAUGUGAAUUACAUAUGCAGUUAAAAAUUUUCUAGACACCAUAUUAAGAUAAAAAGGAAAUAGAUGGGACUUCCCUUGUGGUGCAGUUGUUAAGAAUCCGCCUGCCAAUGCAGGGGACACAGGUUCAAUCCCUGGCCCAGGAAGAUCCCACAUGCCGCAGAGCAACUAAGCCCAUGAGCCACAACUACUGAGCCUGCGCUCUAGAGCCCAUGUGACACAACUGUUGAAGCCCGUGUGCCUAGAGCCUGUGCUCUGCAACAAGAGAAGCCACUGCAGUGGUAAGCCCUUGUACCACAACUAGAGAAAGCCUGCACGCAGCAACGAAAACCCAAUGCAGCCAAAAAUAAAUAAAUAAAUUUAUAUUUAAAAAAAGGAAAUAGAUGAAAGUAAUUUUAAUAAUAUUUUUAUUUGACCUGAUACAUCCAAAAUGUUAUUUCAACAUAUAAUCAACGUAAAAAUUAUUAAUGAGAAUUUUAUAUUUUUGUGUGUGUGAGAUAUUGUCUUUGAAGUCCAGUGUGUAGUUUAUACUAACAACAUAUCUCAUUUCAGAAUGGCCAUAUUUCAGGUGCUCAGUGGUGACAUGUGGCUAGUUACUGCUGUAUUAGACAGCUAGGCUAGAAGCCAUUUGUCUGAUAGGCAAUUGUGAGAAGUCAGGCUUAUAACUGGGAAAGCCUGAUCAAGGCAGAGUGAUAUAGGACUGGAUACUGAAAGGUUACAGAGUGAAGUAUGUAUAAUUAUCAGAGAGGCAAAAUAAGAAAUUAUCAGAUACAAUUGACCCUUAAACAACACAGGUUUGAACUGCAUAGUUCCACUUAUAUGUGGAUUAUUUUCAAUAAACAUUUUGGAAAAUUAUUUGGAGAUUUGCAACAAUUUGAAAAAUUCACAGACUAACCAUGUAGCCUAGAAAUAUUGAAAAAAAUAAUAAAAAGAUAUGUCAUGAAUGUAUAAAAUAUGUAUAGAUACUAGUCUAUUUGAUCAUUUUCUACCAUAAAAUAUACACAAAUCUAUUAACAAGAGUUAAAAUUUAUCAAAACUUGUGCAAAGACUUAUAGAUAGUACAUGGCCCUUUUGCAGUUGAGAGAAAUAUAAACAAGCAUAAAUAUGCAGUAUUGAAUCAUAAACUGCAUAAAAUUAACUAUAGUGCAUAUUGUACUAUUAUAAUAGUUAACCUCCUUUUAAUAUUGUGGUGAGCUCAAGUUUUGUGGGUAUCCACUUAAAAUGCCAUGUGACACUAAUCGUCUCCACGUGAGCACUUCAUCUUUCCACUAAACUGCUUAUCACAGUAAAAAGUGAUGUCUUACAGUUCUUGCAUAUUUUUCUUCGUGUUUAGUGCAAUACUGUAAACCUUGAAUAACCCCAUGGGACUCAUUAGAAGUGCCACUAGUGUUGCUGGAAGUGCUCCCAGGAAGCAGAGAAAAGUCUUGACAUUUCAAAAAAAAGCUGAAUUGCUUGAUGUAUACUGUAGACUGAGAUCUGUAGCUGCGGUUGCCAGACAUUUCAGGAUAAAUGAAUCCAGCAUAAAGACCAUUGUAAAAAAAAAAACAAAAGAAAAGAAAAGGAAAUAUGUGAAAGCAUCACUACACCUAUGCCAGUAUACAUGAAAAUGUACUUUUUGUGAAAUAACUUUUUAUUUUAUAUUGAAAACAUAGCUUUUUUGUAGGUAUAGGAUUGCUAUAAGAAAGGCAUACCUACUAAUAUGAUUUGAGAAAAAGCAGUCAUUAUAUGAUGACUUCAAGCAAAAGGAAGGUGAAGGAUCUAAAGCUGGAGAAUUUAAUGCCAGCAAAGGUUGGUUUGAUAAUUUUAGAAAGAGUUUUGGCUUUAAAAAAAAUGUCAAGAUAACAGGAGGAUGACCAAGAGAGAGCAGACCAGUUCCCAGGCACAAUUAAAAAAAUCAUUGAGGAGAAACAAUAGCAGGCUGAACAGGUUUUUAAUGUAGAAAAGAGUGCCCUAUUCUGGAAAAAAAAAAUGCCACAAAGGACAUUUACUAGUAAGGAAGGGAAGCGAAUACUAGGAUUUAAGACAGAAAGGGAUAGGCUAACUCUCCUGUUUUGCACAAAUGCAGCGGGGUUUAGGAUCUAUAAAGCUGCUAACCCCCGAGCUUUGAGGGGAAAGAUAAACAGCAGAUGCCAGUCUUUUGGUUGUACUACAGCAAGGAAGCCUGGACAUUGAGAACCCUUUUUCUAGAUUGGUUCCGUCCAUGCUUUGUCCUUGAAGUCAGGAAUUACAUUGCCAGUAAAGGCCUGCCUUUUAAAAUUUAUUUGAUUUGGACAAUACUUCCCUGGCCACCCAGAAACCCAUGAGUUCAACACUGAAGGCACUGAAGUGGUCUUCUUGCCUCCAAACACAUCUAAUUCAUUCUGUAGAUCAGGGGAUCUUAGGGACCUUGAUGGCUCAUUACACAUGGUACUCCAUGGAAAAAAUUGUCAGUGCUAUGGUAGAGAAAGAUCAUGGAAGUCUGGAAGGAUUAUACCACUGAAGAUGCUGUGUUAUUAUAGGAAAAGCUGUGAAGACCAUCAAGCCCCAAACAAUAAAUUCCUGCUGGAGAACACUGUCCAGAUGUGCGCGACUUCACAGGAUUUAGGACAGAACCAAUCAAGGAAAUCAUGAAAGAGAUUGCAGAUAUGGCAAAAAAGGUUGGCGGUGAAGGGUUUCAAGAUAGGGAUCUUAGAGAAAUUCAAGAGCUAAUAGACAGGACUUCCCUGGUGGUCCAGUGGUAAAGAAUCCGCCUUACAAUGCAGGGUUCAAUCCCUGGUCAGGGAACUAAGAUCCCACAUGCAGCGGGGCAACUAAGCCCGCGUGCCACAACUAAUGAGGUCACGUGCCUCAGCUAGAGCCCGCGUGCCACGAACUACAGAGCCCAUGCACUCUGGAACCCCCGUGACACAACUACAGAGCCCACGUGCCCUGGAGCCUGUGCGCCACAACUAGAGAAGAGAAAACCCGCACACCACAACUAGAGAGAAGCCCACACACCACAACAAAGAGCCCACGCGCCGCAAUAAAGAGCCGGCAUGCCGCAACUAAGACCCAGUGCGGCCAAAAAUAAAUAAAAUAAAUAAAUAAUAAAUAAAUCUUAAAAAAAAAAAAGAGCUAAUAGACACCAUACCAGAGGAUUUAACAAGAGAUGACUUGGACAGGAGUGCUUCUGAACCAGUGCCAGACAAUGAGGAAAAAGACAUGGGAGAAGUAGUGCCAGAAAACAACUUGACAUUAGACACUCUGGCAGAAGGGUUCUGAUAAUUAAAAACUGCUUUUGACUUCUUUUACAACAUGGACCAUUCUAUGAUACUGGUGCUGAAACUAAAGCACACAGUGGCCGAAGGAUUAAUACUUUAUAGAAACAUUUUUAGAAAAAUAUAAAAGCAAAAAAGUCAGAUAGAAAUGAGGAUGUAAGGACUUCCCUGGUGGCACAGUGGUUUAGAAUCCAGCUGCCAAUGCAGGGGACACGGGUUUCAGCCCUGGUCUGGGAAGAUCCCACAUGCCGCGGAGCAACUAAGCCUGUGUGCCACAACUACUGAGCCUGUGCUCUAGAGCCUGCAAGCCACAACUACUAAGCCCACGUGCCACAACUACUGAAGCCCAUGCACCUGGAUCUCGUGCUCCGCAACAAGAGAAGCCACUACAAUGAGAAGCCCAUGCACCGCAACAGAGUAGCCCCUGCUCGCCGCAACUAGAGAAAGCCUGCGCACAGCAACGAAGACCCAAUGCAGCCAAAAAUAAACAAAAUAAAUAAAUAAAUAAAUAGCUCCUCUAUACUACAUUAAAAAAAAAGAAAUUAGGAUGUAUUUUUAUCAAGUUACACCCUGUGUGUGUACCUCUCCUGCCUCCCCUCCAACCUCCUCCACCUCUUCCACACCUGAGACAGCAAGACCAACCCUUCCUCUUUCUCUUCCUCCUCAGCCUACUCAAUGUGAAUCAAGACUACUAGGAUGGGGCUUCCCUGGUGGCGCAGUGGUUGAGAGUCUGCCUGCCGAUGCAGGGGACGUGGGUUCGUGCCCCGGUCUGGGAAGAUCCCACAUGCUGCGGAGCGGCUGGGCCCGUGAGCCAUGCCCGCUGAGCCUGCGUGUCCGGAGCCUGUGCUCCGCAACGGGAGAGACCACAGCAGUGAGAGGCCCAUGUACUGCAAAAAAAAAAAAAAAAAAGCAAAAAGACUACUAGGAUGAAGACCUUUGUGAUGAUCCACUUCUACUUAAUGAAUAGUAGACAGUCAUCAUGUGCUACAGUUAAUAAACUUAUUUGUUAUGUAUGUGUGUGUCUUUCUAUGAAAAUCUAAUAACUACUGCAAAAACCACUGUGUCAUCACCACCAUCAUCAUCAUUGCCUAAAUAUCAUCAUGUAGAACAUCAUGUUCAAGACUUGUAUUGAAGUGGCUAGCCUACCUUAUAUGGGAAUAAGGUGAUACUUAAUAUAAAAUUAAUAAUGUAUUAGUUUUCCUACUGUUCUAUAACUUUGCUUUCAAAGUUAUAUACAUUACCAUACAGUAUGCCUCUGUCUUCCCUCCUAAUUGGAGAAACUGCAUAUCACGAUGUCACCAUAGGUAAGUGGAUUUUUAAAAAUGUAAGUGUUUCCAACACUGUAUUAUGAAUAUGACUGUAUGCCAUAACAUUUUUAUAAGGAUUUAUUCACUGUAUAAGCUAAGCUACUGUGAAGCAAUUGUAUCAAUUACACUAAGCUUACCAUGAAGUAAUCAUAUUGCUGCUUCUGUAUUAUUAUAUAUGUAUAUAAAUAUCUGUAUAUAAAUAUGAAUUUGUUUUUACACAUUAUCUUUUCAUUUGUGAUGUCUAGAGUUAGUAAUUCACAUAGUAUCUACAGUGUUUCAUAUCAUAUACAAUAAUAUGGAUGUUAGGUACUGACAGAUAAUCUCAUAAACAGAUGACAUUAACUUGUAUUGAUAUAGUCUCUAGUUUAUUGUAAGAGUACAAUAAUAUUAUAUAUAGUAUCAUGUAUUUUGUAUAACGGUACUAUUAUCAUAUAGUAGUACUAUUGUAUAAUAGUGUAUGUGUAGCAUAUAAUAUUGAUACAAGUAACAUAAAAUAUGUGUUAAUUGACUGUAUUAUCGGUAAGGUGGUCAGCAGUAGGCUAUUGGUUGUUAAGGUGCGGGGGAGUCAAAAAUUAUAUAUGGAUGUUUGACUGCACUGGUGUUGGCACCCCUAACCCCCAUGUUGUUCGAGGGCCACCUGUACAAGCAUCCUUGAAAAGAUAGCCUGGAUCAAAGGCAGUCAUUGCCUCUGCUUACAACAUGUGCAAAACCAUGAGAGAUCCAUGGAGAAUUGUCUCCCAACAUUUAGUAGACAUUUGUAACAAGUAAUAUGCAUAAACUGAAAGAAAAAUAUUUUACUUUAAACAACUGCAGUCACUUGGUGAUGGAAUGUAUAUACCUAUGGGGCACUGCACAACUCCUCAAACCUUGGAAUCAGAUUGGACACCACUACCCCAUUCCCUGUUCCACAUUGAUUUUCUUAGAGGACUUGCUUUUUAUCACAACAACCACCAAAAACCUAGAUUCAGAAAUAUCUCAUAUUAUCAAGGAAAGUAGUGCUAUCUCAUGUUGAAACUGAACUACCUCAAGCUAGUAGUUUAUGUGGUAUAUAUCAGAUGUUGAGGAUUACUGUGUUUUUCUCAAAAAUCUGACACGUCCCAUGGUGCUCCUGUGAGCUCACUGAGGCUCUUUGGGCCAACUUGGGAACUAUAGCCCUAAGCAGUGGUGGAAGAAGCACUGAUUCUGAAUGACCUCACAGAGUAGCGCUGUUUCGGUAGCCUAGACUAAAUGGUUGUUAUUAUACCAGAGAGAAAUAAACUUCUAUCCUCUUCCAGUCAGAUCUGUGGAUGUUUUUGUUGUAGUAGCAUAGUCUCUAUCCUAACUAGUACAAUCUCCUAAUAAAUUCGGCUGCGUCUCAUAAUGUAGUAUUUGAUGACAUGUUCUUGUAUUGUGAAAACAGUAUUCACUAUGUGUUUCUUUUGUCUUUCCAACUUCAGUCAUCACCUCAGUCCACAUUUAUUGAGCCCCUGCUAUGCCCUGGCAGUGGGUUAAAUCAAAUCCAAGUCCACUUCUAUGUUCCUCAGUCCCCUCAGCUGCAGGCCAGCUGCUCUUGAGCAUUCAGCCACAUCUAAGCAAGUCCUCUCCCCAUUUAGCAUAUAGGGUCUGGAAGUUGCAUUGAUGCUUUACACCCAGGAGUAGCUGGUGUGCCUUUGUUGCUGACUGGGCUUGGACCUGGAACUCAGUAAGAAGAACUUGGGUGAUUUGAACUGAAAUGCAUGCAUCAGUCCUUUUUGGCCAGUCUGGUUAGGACUAAGAACCUUCAGGCAAAAAGCCAAUCUGACACAUCCAGCAAGACACAGAGAGUGUUCAGAAAGAAGCAGGCAGGCAGCAAGAUAGAAGGUACUUGUUGUCACUGCCUACUACUGAGCUGGCUUAGACUACUGCUGGGGUAGUGAGCACUGUGUGUGUCUGUGCAAAAGGGAAGCAGGAAGGAGAACAGACUCUGGCCUGUCAGUGAUUGAAGGAAGAGGAGAGACAAAGGAUGGCUGGGCUGGCCUUGGGUACUGUUGGGAGAAGCAGACCCUGUGUCCAUUCACUAUUUUACAACCUGGGGCUCGCGCGCACACACACACACAGCAGCUAGGAAUGGGCCCUGACACCUUCCAGUUCUUCAGCAUGGAGAGAAGAGAAUGCUGAAAGAGUUUCAGUCUUCCCACACCCAAAAUGAGUGACAUUUUAACGUACAUUAAUUGCUAGUAAACUUGACCCAAUAAGAGUCCUAGAAUUUGAACAAUCCAUGCCAACUUUCUUCUUGAUGGCAGCACAGGGAAGAGGAGAAAGAUGCUCUUAAAGCAUAUUCUGUGUAAUACUCAUGGACUUCUUACAGCAGGAAGAGUUUAUUUACCUAAGGAUCUCAGAAGGGUUGAAAUAAAGCAAGAUUUAGGUAAAUUUUGAAUAAAUGAGAAAAUUUGUCUUGAUUUGAAACCAGGUUUCUGGUUUCAGAAUCUAUUAUUAUAUGUUAUUUUUAACAUGUAGGUUUGCUUAAAGUAUUUUAUUGACAGAGAAAUAUAGAUGCAGUAAAAAAAAUCAAGCAGUACAACUCUUAGCCAAUGAGAUGGGUGAAAAAAUGAUACUUUGGUUUUAUUUGCACUUCUUUAAUGAUGGAUGAAUUUGAACAUGUCUUCCCAUGUUUAAAAGCUUUUUCUGUGAACUGCCUAAUCAUAGCCUUCAUCCAUUUUGUUUCUUUUUCUGUUGGUAUUUUUCUUAUCGUUUUGUAAGAGUUCUUAUGUGAAGAAAAUUAGCAUUUUGUCUGUCACAAUUGUUUUAAGUAUUUUUCUAGGGUCUUUUAGUGUAUUAAAGGUAUUUUUCCAUGUACGAAUUUUUAAUCAGCUUGGUGUCUCAUCCCAGGAUCCCCAUAUAUUCAUGUCUGAGUGCUGGGAGCAACAACUAAAAGACCUUUCAGUUAAAGAACACUCACUCAAUUAAAACAAAAACCUCUGUCAGACAGUGAGAGAAUAUAAGCAACACUAUUUGUAUUCAUUUCCUGAGGCUGCUGUAAAAAAUUACCAUUACUGGGUAGAUGAACACGACAGAAAUUUAUCGUGGCACAAUUCUGGAGUCCAGAAAUCAGAAAUCAAGAUGUCAGCAGGACUGUACUCUCACUGGAGGCCCUAGGGAACAAUCCAUUCCUGCCUCUUCCAUCUUCUGAUGUGCCUUAGCAUUUCUGGGCUUGUGGCCUCAUCAUUCCAAAUCUCUCUUCAUGUUACCUUCUCCUCUGUAUGUCUGGCUCUUCUCUGUGUAUUUAUCUUAUAAGGAUACAGAUGGUUGCAUUUAGGGCCCACUAGGAUAAGCACCUCCUCUCAAGAUUGGUAAUUUAAUCACAUUGGCAAAGACCUUAACAGAUUCCAGGGAUUUGACGUGGAUAUCUUUUGGGGGCUAUUUUUUGGCUUACUACGUGACUCUUAAAUACCCUAAUAACAGUAAAAUUUAAAAUGGGGAAUGAGGUGCUCUCCCCCUGCUUUGCCCUGCACCUCAGUAGUGCAGGGGGACAGUGCAGGAUGCUGGCAGCAGAGUCCAGGGACAUAACAUUGUAACUCAGCUGAUUGAAUCCUAAGGACCCAAGAGAAGGUCCCUGUGGGCAUCCAGAAUUAUUUAAAAUGAGGAGUGGGGAGAACUUUGCAGGGGGCUGGGAUCCUGCAUUAGCAGGAGAGGCAAGAACACCCCAAGACUUUACUAUUUGAACAGUUUGUAACAAGACCAGUACACAAAACCUGUGGCUGGCUUGGAGGAGGUCCAGAAGAGGCUCCCUGCACCCCCUAGUUUGCAGCUGUUAAUCCGACAGCUCAGCCUGUUCCAAGGGACUCAACUCCUGGCCUCUAGGGCUGCAGUGUGCUCUGCCUCUGGGAGAAUAGCCAGCUUGGUGCUUGUCAAGGCUUCACUGCCCAACCCCAGGAAGCUUGGUCCUUCAGGCUGAUUCUGGGUCUGGAUGGUGUGUUCCAGGCCCAGCCUGGGCCAGUUUCAAAGGUCACCCCUGUGCCAUCUCAAACCAGCUUGGGCUCUGGGAGAUGUAAGAUGGAAAUGGCCAAAGAUCCAGGGUGUACACCAGGCCAGAGGCAAAAUGCUGGCAGUCUGUGGGCUUAUGCAGUGGGAAAAUACUCAGACAUAGUGCAGUGGGGUCCUCCAUACCCAGACCUUGCAGGCAGCACCAGCGUAUCAAACAGUCUGAGAGCUACGGGCAGCUAGGGUAUGCUGGUAGUGCUGGAUGGGCUUGACAUUGUUAAACACUUUAUUUAUUUGGUUGCACUGGGUCUUAGUUGCAGCUUGCGGGCUCCUUAGUUGUGGCUUGCAGCCUCCUUAGUUGUGGCUCACCGGCUCCUUAAUUGAAGCACGUGGGCUUCUUAGUUGAAGCAGGCAGCCUCCUUAGUUGAGGCAGGCGGGCUCCUUAGUUGUGGCUGGCGGGCUCCUUGGUUGUGGCAUGUGAACUCUUACUUGCGGCAUGCAUGUGGGAUCUACUUUCCUGACCAGGGAUCGAACCUUGGUCCCCUGCAUUGGUAGUGCAGAGUCUUAUCCACUGUGCCACCAGGGAAGUCCCUUUUGUUUUUCUUUUAAGAAAGUACAAGUACAAAUUAUGUUAUUGUCUUUUUCCCUGCUGGCCUGCCUACUGAUCUGUUGCUUGAGAGAAUCCAGUGCAUCUCCCACAAAUACUCAAGUAGCUGGGGAGUGUCCUGGCACCCAACCUUCUGUUCUGCCCUGUUAGUGUGAAGCCCCUGCUCAGGCUGUCAAGGGGGAGGGACACAGGAUGAAAUCUGGCAUCUCUGGAGCCUUGGGUUUAGCACUGAAUUAGGAAAGACUGUUGCAGUGGAAAGCUUGGGAUGGGGGUUCAAGGGCUAACUGCCAGGAUUUGACUUUCGGUGAUAAGAUGUGGAGGUGGGUGAGUUUAGUGCAAAGAACUGGGUUUUACUUCCUGGGAGUCUGUUCAUUCUGCUCUGGCUGAACCUAGGUGCUCUUUUUUUUUCUCCUAUAUGGUUGUUUGUUUUCGGCUUUAGCUUACUGCAGUAUCAAUUUCUGUCAGAGUUUGUUAAAAAGGCACUUUGAAUAACCAAAGGCCAGGAUGAAAGUAAAAUAGGGAGACUUUAAAAUGUUGUUUGUUUUUACAUAACUUUAAUUCCCACCCAGGGUUAAACAAAGUUCUGGUCAGUAUAAAGAAUGCCCAUUGGCUUGGGCAAAGUUUUAGAGCUGGGGGAGAAGCAGUGAUAGCCCUGGAGUUGGAGACCCACCCUGUGGUACUGGAGGUAUUUGGUUGCACCUAAGGGCUCCAAAACACCAAGAAAAAAAAAAAAAAAAGAAUU